GACGAACGCUGGCGGCGUGCUUAACACAUGCAAGUCGAACGGAAAGGCCCUGCUUGCAGGGUACUCGAGUGGCGAACGGGUGAGUAACACGUGGGUUAUCUGCCCUGCACUUCGGGAUAAGCCUGGGAAACUGGGUCUAAUACCGGAUAGGAGCCAUUUUUAGUGUGAUGGUUGGAAAGUUUUUUCGGUGUAGGAUGAGCUCGCGGCCUAUCAGCUUGUUGGUGGGGUAAUGGCCUACCAAGGCGGCGACGGGUAGCCGGCCUGAGAGGGUGGACAGCCACAUUGGGACUGAGAUACGGCCCAGACUCCUACGGGAGGCAGCAGGGGGGAAUAUUGCACAAUGGGCGCAAGCCUGAUGCAGCGACGCCGCGUGGGGGAUGACGGCCUUCGGGUUGUAAACUCCUUUCGCUAGGGACGAAGCUUUUUGUGACGGUACCUAGAUAAGAAGCACCGGCUAACUACGUG
This 465-nucleotide ribosomal RNA is filed under the name uncultured bacterium. Its description in RNAcentral is "partial 16S ribosomal RNA". It matches the Rfam family "Bacterial small subunit ribosomal RNA", at positions 28 to 507 of the family's 1533-position model. The record is from RNAcentral.